CCUACCUUCACCACGUCCUCUAUCUCCUUCUACCCCACCCGAUCUCAGGGCUUCUUUCGACACCGCUGCCCCUGUUUUCCCCUCCGACAUCGCUGCCGCACCAACCCCAUCACCACCUUCUUCUCCUUUUAUACCACUAGCCCCCAUCUUCCACUCUCUUCGCCAAAAGGUUAAACCAGUUCAUCUCCAAGAUUAUGUUUGCUUACAGGUUACUUUACCCACUCUUGACCAAUCGUCGGAUUCCUUGUCAUGUCGCACCAAAGGUACUCAUUAUCCCCU
This 279-nucleotide long non-coding RNA is filed under the name Prunus persica (peach). RNAcentral's name for it is "long non-coding RNA (PPER_LNC001541)". The record is from RNAcentral. Lineage: Eukaryota; Viridiplantae; Streptophyta; Magnoliopsida; Rosales; Rosaceae.